RNAcentral lists this transfer RNA (78 nucleotides) under Pseudorhodoplanes sp. RNAcentral's name for it is "tRNA-Arg". It matches the Rfam family "tRNA". Rfam says of the family: Transfer RNA (tRNA) molecules are approximately 80 nucleotides in length. Their secondary structure includes four short double-helical elements and three loops (D, anti-codon, and T loops). Further hydrogen bonds mediate the characteristic L-shaped molecular structure. tRNAs have two regions of fundamental functional importance: the anti-codon, which is responsible for specific mRNA codon recognition, and the 3' end, to which the tRNAs corresponding amino acid is attached (by aminoacyl-tRNA synthetases). tRNAs cope with the degeneracy of the genetic code in two manners: having more than one tRNA (with a specific anti-codon) for a particular amino acid; and 'wobble' base-pairing, i.e. permitting non-standard base-pairing at the 3rd anti-codon position. The record is from RNAcentral. Lineage: Bacteria; Pseudomonadati; Pseudomonadota; Alphaproteobacteria; Hyphomicrobiales.
GGCCCCCGUAGCUCAGUGGAUUAGAGCAGCAGCCUUCUAAGCUGUUGGUCGGAGGUUCGAGUCCUCCCGGGGUCGCCA